CUGCUCUAUUACAUUGUCUGCCUACCUUUAGGUCAUCAGAAAUAAUCACCCCUAAAUCCCUUUCCUCAGAUGUUAAACAAUUUAUCAUUUAACAUGGUUUCCAUUACUUUCCCCACUACUGAAGUAAGGCUCUCUGGCCUAUAGUUGCCCAACUCCUCCCUACUACCUUUCUUUUGAAUGGGCACAACAUUCGCUAAUUUCCAAUCUUCUCGG
Pelobates cultripes (western spadefoot toad) is the source of this 213-nucleotide non-coding RNA. The record is from the annotation of a GenBank genome assembly. Lineage: Eukaryota; Metazoa; Chordata; Amphibia; Anura; Pelobatidae.